UAAGGAAUAUUGGCCAAUGGACGCAAGUCUGAACCAGCCAUGCCGCGUGGAGGAUUAAGGCCCUCUGGGUUGUAAACUCCUUUUAUCUGGGAAGAAAUGUACUUUUUCUUGAGUACUUGACGGUACCAGAGGAAUAAGCACCGGCUAACUCCGUGCCAGCAGCCGCGGUAAUACGGAGGGUGCAAGCGUUAUCCGGAUUCACUGGGUUUAAAGGGUGCGUAGGUGGGCAGGUAAGUCAGUGGUGAAAUCUCCGGGCUUAACCCGGAAACUGCCGUUGAUACGAUUUGUCUUGAAUAUUGUGGAGGUAAGCGGAAUAUGUCAUGUAGCGGUGAAAUGCUUAGAUAUGACAUAGAACACCCAUUGCGAAGGCAGCUUACUACACAAUCAUUGACGCUGAGGCACGAAAGCGUGGGGAUCAAACA
Molecule: ribosomal RNA, 422 nt
Filed under: uncultured bacterium
Lineage: Bacteria
Description: bacterial SSU rRNA
Rfam family: Bacterial small subunit ribosomal RNA
Source: RNAcentral